RNAcentral lists this ribosomal RNA (498 nucleotides) under Proteus vulgaris. Its description in RNAcentral is "bacterial SSU rRNA". It matches the Rfam family "Bacterial small subunit ribosomal RNA", at positions 39 to 525 of the family's 1533-position model. Lineage: Bacteria; Pseudomonadati; Pseudomonadota; Gammaproteobacteria; Enterobacterales; Morganellaceae. The record is from RNAcentral.
GUGUGGGGGGACCUACACAUGCAAGUCGAGCGGUAACAGGAGAAGCUUGCUUUCUUGCUGACGAGCGGCGGACGGGUGAGUAAUGUAUGGGGAUCUGCCCGAUAGAGGGGGAUAACUACUGGAAACGGUAGCUAAUACCGCAUGACGUCUACGGACCAAAGCAGGGGCUCUUCGGACCUUGCGCUAUCGGAUGAACCCAUAUGGGAUUAGCUAGUAGGUGAGGUAAUGGCUCACCUAGGCGACGAUCUCUAGCUGGUCUGAGAGGAUGAUCAGCCACACUGGGACUGAGACACGGCCCAGACUCCUACGGGAGGCAGCAGUGGGGAAUAUUGCACAAUGGGCGCAAGCCUGAUGCAGCCAUGCCGCGUGUAUGAAGAAGGCCUUAGGGUUGUAAAGUACUUUCAGCGGGGAGGAAGGUGAUAAGGUUAAUACCCUUGUCAAUUGACGUUACCCGCAGAAGAAGCACCGGCUAACUCCGUGCCAGCAGCCGCGGUAAUA